AACGGKUGAGUAACACGUGARCCACCUGCCCUGGACUCUGGGAUAAACGCUGGAAACGGCGUCUAAUACUGGAUAUGAGCUCCUUCCGCAUGGUGGGGGUUGGAAAGAUUUUUCGGUCUGGGAUGGGCUCGCGGCCUAUCAGCUUGUUGGUGAGGUAAUGGCUCACCAAGGCGUCGACGGGUAGCCGGCCUGAGAGGGUGACCGGCCRCACUGGGACUGAGACACGGCCCAGACUCCUACGGGAGGCAGCAGUGGGGAAUAUUGCACAAUGGGCGGAAGCCUGAUGCAGCAACGCCGCGUGAGGGAUGACGGCCUUCGGGUUGUAAACCUCUUUUAGCAGGGAAGAAGCGAAAGUGACGGUMCCUGCAGAAAAAGCGCCGGCUAACUACGUGCCARCAGCCGCGGUAAUACGUAGGGCGCAAGCGUUAUCCGGAAUUAUUGGGCGUAAAGAGCUCGUAGGCGGUUUGUCGCGUCUGCUGUGAAAUCCCGAGGCUCAACCUCGGGCCUGCAGUGGGUACGGGCAGACUAGAGUGCGGUAGGGGAGAUUGSAAUUCCUGGUGUAG
RNAcentral lists this ribosomal RNA (563 nucleotides) under Microbacterium sp. RNAcentral describes it as "bacterial SSU rRNA". Lineage: Bacteria; Bacillati; Actinomycetota; Actinomycetes; Micrococcales; Microbacteriaceae. The record is from RNAcentral.